GAACGCUAGCUACAGGCUUAACACAUGCAAGUCGAGGGGCAGCAUGGUCUUAGCUUGCUAAGGCCGAUGGCGACCGGCGCACGGGUGAGUAACACGUAUCCAACCUGCCGUCUACUCUUGGACAGCCUUCUGAAAGGAAGAUUAAUACAAGAUGGCAUCAUGAGUCCGCAUGUUCACAUGAUUAAAGGUAUUCCGGUAGACGAUGGGGAUGCGUUCCAUUAGAUAGUAGGCGGGGUAACGGCCCACCUAGUCUUCGAUGGAUAGGGGUUCUGAGAGGAAGGUCCCCCACAUUGGAACUGAGACACGGUCCAAACUCCUACGGGAGGCAGCAGUGAGGAAUAUUGGUCAAUGGGCGAGAGCCUGAACCAGCCAAGUAGCGUGAAGGAUGACUGCCCUAUGGGUUGUAAACUUCUUUUAUAAAGGAAUAAAGUCGGGUAUGCAUACCCGUUUGCAUGUACUUUAUGAAUAAGGAUCGGCUAACUCCGUGCCAGCAGCCGCGGUAAUACGGAGGAUCCGAGCGUUAUCCGGAUUUAUUGGGUUUAAAGGGAGCGUAGAUGGAUGUUUAAGUCAGUUGUGAAAGUUUGCGGCUCAACCGUAAAAUUGCAGUUGAUACUGGAUAUCUUGAGUGCAGUUGAGGCAGGCGGAAUUCGUGGUGUAGCGGUGAAAUGCUUAGAUAUCACGAAGAACUCCGAUUGCGAAGGCAGCCUGCUAAGCUGCAACUGACAUUGAGGCUCGAAAGUGUGGGUAUCAAACAGGAUUAGAUACCCUGGUAGUCCACACGGUAAACGAUGAAUACUCGCUGUUUGCGAUAUACGGCAAGCGGCCAAGCGAAAGCGUUAAGUAUUCCACCUGGGGAGUACGCCGGCAACGGUGAAACUCAAAGGAAUUGACGGGGGCCCGCACAAGCGGAGGAACAUGUGGUUUAAUUCGAUGAUACGCGAGGAACCUUACCCGGGCUUAAAUUGCAGAUGAAUUACGGUGAAAGCCGUAAGCCGCAAGGCAUCUGUGAAGGUGCUGCAUGGUUGUCGUCAGCUCGUGCCGUGAGGUGUCGGCUUAAGUGCCAUAACGAGCGCAACCCUUGUUGUCAGUUACUAACAGGUUCCGCUGAGGACUCUGACAAGACUGCCAUCGUAAGAUGUGAGGAAGGUGGGGAUGACGUCAAAUCAGCACGGCCCUUACGUCCGGGGCUACACACGUGUUACAAUGGGGGGUACAGAGGGCCGCUACCACGCGAGUGGAUGCCAAUCCCCAAAACCUCUCUCAGUUCGGACUGGAGUCUGCAACCCGACUCCACGAAGCUGGAUUCGCUAGUAAUCGCGCAUCAGCCACGGCGCGGUGAAUACGUUCCCGGGCCUUGUACACACCGCCCGUCAAGCCAUGGGAGCCGGGGGUACCUGAAGUGCGUAACCGCGAGGAGCGCCCUAGGGUAAAACUGGUGACUGGGGCUA
Molecule: ribosomal RNA, 1448 nt
Filed under: uncultured organism
Description: SSU rRNA
Rfam family: Bacterial small subunit ribosomal RNA
Source: RNAcentral